This 388-nucleotide long non-coding RNA is filed under the name Mytilus galloprovincialis (Mediterranean mussel). The record is from RNAcentral. Lineage: Eukaryota; Metazoa; Mollusca; Bivalvia; Mytilida; Mytilidae.
UGUCAGAUUUGCUCUUAAUGCUUUGGUUUUUGAGUUAUAAACCAAAAACUGCAUUUUACCCCUAUGUUCUAUUUUAAGCCAUGGCGGCCAUUUUGGUUGGAUGACCGAGUCACCGGACACAUUUUUAAACUAGAUACCCCAAAGAUGAUUGUGGCCAAGUUUGGAUUAAUUUGGCCCUGUAGUUUCAGAGGAGAAGAUUUUUGUAAAAGAUUACUAAGAUUUACGAAAAAUGGUUAAAAAUUGAUUAUAAAGGGCAAUAACUCCUAAAGGGGUCAACUGACCAUUUCGGUCAUGUUGACUUAUUUGUAAAUCUUACUUUGCUGAACAUUAUUGCUGUUUACAGUUUAUCUCUAUCUAUAAUAAUAUUCAAGAUAAUAACCAAAAACAG